Molecule: transfer RNA, 63 nt
Filed under: Magadhaideus sp. n. SX-2018
Lineage: Eukaryota; Metazoa; Arthropoda; Insecta; Hemiptera; Achilidae
Description: tRNA-Tyr
Source: RNAcentral
AAUGGGAUGGCUGAAAGUAGGUGAUAAAUUGUAAAUUUAUUUAAGGUUGAAUACCUCUCAUUA